UAACCAAUGUGCAGACUACUGUACAAACACUAAUUCCUGAACAGGUAGUCUGAACACUGGGCAGG
This 65-nucleotide microRNA precursor is filed under the name Ictalurus punctatus (channel catfish). RNAcentral describes it as "microRNA ipu-mir-199b precursor". Its record names the gene ipu-mir-199b. Lineage: Eukaryota; Metazoa; Chordata; Actinopteri; Siluriformes; Ictaluridae. The record is from miRBase by way of RNAcentral.